RNAcentral lists this transfer RNA (84 nucleotides) under Nanchangia anserum. It matches the Rfam family "tRNA". From Rfam's summary of the family: Transfer RNA (tRNA) molecules are approximately 80 nucleotides in length. Their secondary structure includes four short double-helical elements and three loops (D, anti-codon, and T loops). Lineage: Bacteria; Bacillati; Actinomycetota; Actinomycetes; Actinomycetales; Actinomycetaceae. The record is from Rfam by way of RNAcentral.
GCGCGCGUGGCGAAAUUGGUAGACGCGCCAGGUUUAGGUCCUGGUGCCGGUGACGGCGUGAGGGUUCGAGUCCCUCCGCGCGCA